RNAcentral lists this ribosomal RNA (916 nucleotides) under uncultured archaeon. RNAcentral's name for it is "bacterial SSU rRNA". It matches the Rfam family "Archaeal small subunit ribosomal RNA", at positions 1 to 923 of the family's 1478-position model. The record is from RNAcentral.
UUCCGGUUGAUCCUGCCGGACCUGACUGCUAUCGGAUUGAUACUAAGCCAUGCGAGUCAUUGUAGCAAUACAAGGCAGACGGCUCAGUAACGCGUAGUCAACCUAACCUAUGGACGGGAAUAACCUCGGGAAACUGAGAAUAAUGCCCGAUAGAACACUAUACCUGGAAUGGUUUGUGUUCCAAAUGAUUUAUCGCCGUAGGAUGGGACUGCGGCCUAUCAGUUUGUUGGUGAGGUAAUGGCCCACCAAGACUAUUACAGGUACGGGCUCUGAGAGGAGUAGCCCGGAGAUGGGUACUGAGACACGGACCCAGGCCCUAUGGGGCGCAGCAGGCGAGAAAACUUUGCAAUGUGCGAAAGCACGACAAGGUUAAUCCGAGUGAUUUGUGCUAAACGAAUCUUUUGUUAGUCCUAGAAACACUAACGAAUAAGGGGUGGGCAAGUUCUGGUGUCAGCCGCCGCGGUAAAACCAGCACCUCAAGUGGUCAGGAUGAUUAUUGGGCCUAAAGCAUCCGUAGCCGGCUCUGUAAGUUUUCGGUUAAAUCUGUACGCUUAACGUACAGGCUGCCGGGAAUACUGCAGAGCUAGGGAGUGGGAGAGGUAGACGGUACUCGGUAGGAAGGGGUAAAAUCCUUUGAUCUAUUGAUGACCACCUGUGGCGAAGGCGGUCUACCAGAACACGUCCGACGGUGAGGGAUGAAAGCUGGGGGAGCGAACCGGAUUAGAUACCCGGGUAGUCCCAGCUGUAAACGAUGCAUGCUAGGUUGUUUGGGCGGCCACGAGCCGCCCUAGUGCCGCACGGAAGCUGCUGAGCCUGCCGCCUGGGGAGUACGGCCGCAAGGCUGAAACUUAAAGGAAUUGGCGGGGGAGCACCACAAGGGGUGAAGCUUGCGGUUUAAUUGGAGUCAACGCCGGAA